This 786-nucleotide ribosomal RNA is filed under the name uncultured bacterium. RNAcentral's name for it is "bacterial SSU rRNA". It matches the Rfam family "Bacterial small subunit ribosomal RNA", at positions 8 to 796 of the family's 1533-position model. The record is from RNAcentral.
AGAGUUUGAUCAUGGCUCAGAACGAACGCUGGCGGCGUGCUUAACACAUGCAAGUCGAGUGCGCGCCUGUAGCAAUACAGGUGGCGCACGGCGCACGGGUGCGUAACACGUGGGUAAUCUGCCCUCUGAUGGGGAAUAACCCGCCGAAAGGCGGGCUAAUACCGCAUAACAUUCCUUGGAUUUCGGUCCGAGGACUCAAAGGCGUAAGUCGUCGGAGGAGGAGCCCGCGCACGAUUAGCUAGUUGGUAGGGUAAUGGCCUACCAAGGCUUUGAUCGUUAGCUGGUCUGAGAGGAUGGCCAGCCACACUGGAACUGAGACACGGUCCAGACUCCUACGGGAGGCAGCAGUGGGGAAUCUUGCACAAUGGGCGAAAGCCUGAUGCAGCGACGCCGCGUGGGGGAUGAAGCAUUUCGGUGUGUAAACCCCUUUCGAUCCGGACGAAUACCUCGCAAGAGGGGUGACGGUACGGAUAUAAGAAGCCCCGGCUAACUACGUGCCAGCAGCCGCGGUAAGACGUAGGGGGCCAGCGUUGUUCGGAAUUACUGGGUGUAAAGGGUUCGUAGGCGGUGUGGCAAGUUGGGAGUGAAACCUCUGGGCUCAACCCAGAGGCUGCUUCCAAAACUGCUGUGCUUGAGUGUGAGAGAGGCGCGUGGAAUUGCAGGUGUAGCGGUGAAAUGCGUAGAUAUCUGCAGGAACACCCGUGGCGAAAGCGGCGCGCUGGAUCACUACUGACGCUGAGGAACGAAAGCUAGGGGAGCAAACAGGAUUAGAUACCCUAGUAGUCC